Molecule: ribosomal RNA, 253 nt
Filed under: uncultured bacterium
Lineage: Bacteria
Description: partial 16S ribosomal RNA
Rfam family: Bacterial small subunit ribosomal RNA
Source: RNAcentral
UACGAAGGGGGCUAGCGUUGCUCGGAAUCACUGGGCGUAAAGGGUGCGUAGGCGGGUCUUUAAGUCAGGGGUGAAAUCCUGGAGCUCAACUCCAGAACUGCCUUUGAUACUGAGGAUCUUGAGUUCGGGAGAGGUGAGUGGAACUGCGAGUGUAGAGGUGAAAUUCGUAGAUAUUCGCAAGAACACCAGUGGCGAAGGCGCUUUCUGGUCUGUAACUGACGCUGAGGAACGAAAGCCAGGGGAGACAAACGGG